UCGUAUGUAUUUUUUGAAAGAAAGGGAUUAUAUCAAAGUACAUUGUGUCUGGCUUUUAUAAACUAACACCAUCUAGUACAGUUCUAUGCUGACACAACUUGGAAUAUUACCAUAGUUAAUUAUUAGAGAAAUUAAGCAACUACAAUCCAGAAAUGUACACACUUCUUUACUUUCAGCGGCUAAUUGGAAAGUUGGUAAAAUAAACCAUGUGGCUAUAGCAGUGCCUGAUAUAGAGAAAGCAACAGCUAUGUAUAGAG
Long non-coding RNA from Patella vulgata (common limpet), 257 nucleotides. RefSeq lists it as uncharacterized. The transcript is spliced from 3 exons. Lineage: Eukaryota; Metazoa; Mollusca; Gastropoda; Patellidae. The record is from RefSeq and is a predicted model, not a curated record.